RNAcentral lists this long non-coding RNA (1021 nucleotides) under Pan troglodytes (chimpanzee). RNAcentral's name for it is "long non-coding RNA NONPTRT016852". The record is from RNAcentral. Lineage: Eukaryota; Metazoa; Chordata; Mammalia; Primates; Hominidae.
GGAGAAUUCUACAGGGUUGCUCUAAGAACUGUCUUCUCAGCAGUUGAUCCAGCUGUACGGAAAUUUAGGGUAUUUAAACUUUUAAAGGAUCAUGAGCUGUUUCUUGGGCGAUGAAUGUUCUUAAUCAGAAAACUGACAGUAGAAAUCUCACUUCUGGGGAAAACAGUUGUGGAAUUCUUACUUCAUUAUGAAUGUAUUUAAAAAACAAACACCAAAUAAUUGGAAUAUAUUGCAGGCAUUAAGCUCAUUAAAAACAAACUGGCUUGCAGAAGGGUCCGAUGUGCCAAGUGAUCAUGAUUCUGCUGGAAAGAGGAUUUUAAAUAUUGUGGGAGUUCUCCCACCCUAAGUCUUACAUAAUGCCACCAGUCCAUCCAAAACCUAUAUAUCACCUAUACUAUAUAUAUCAUAUAUAUAGUUGAAUGGCAGUAUUCAGGCUCAACGUACAGUUUGAUCCUGAGUAUGCUUGGUGUUUGCCUUCAGAAAAAAAAACACAAAACAUUGUAAAUAACCUCAGCUGGGAUGAGGAGUGACAGAAUAUCAAAAUAAUUUGUGGCUGUGGAUUUUUUUAACUGCUAGUAGUGGAAUACUGGAAAAGCUUCAUUUCUGAAGAUGAAUUUUAUUUUUAAAAAAUACAUGCACACUCAAAACUUUUAGCUUUGAUCACAAAUGGACAAAUUUCUGAAACCAAAGGCAACUAAGUUGCUCUGUUAGCUCUUGCUGGAUUUUGAGCCUAGGUCCUACUGUCUGCCAGUACUCAUGUGAGUUGUAUGCGCCCCCAGUGCUACAUACGCAGAUACGGAGCAAAUAGCAUCCUUAACCUAUGAAUAAUGGUGUUGCCUAGAUUCUUGUCACACACACAGAAGACCCUUUGUACCUAGUAACAUUCAUCCUCUUGAUUCCUGGUGAACACAGUUAAAUUCAUGCACAUUUGUUCUUGUAGUUUCUAAAAAUUGGAUCAAUUUAUUUGUUAGCCAGCAAAUUGAAAAUUCCAUUAUUAGAUUACUGAAAUUUUUGCUCUGCU